Molecule: unclassified non-coding RNA, 344 nt
Filed under: soil metagenome
Description: partial contains 5.8S ribosomal RNA, internal transcribed spacer 2, and large subunit ribosomal RNA
Rfam family: 5.8S ribosomal RNA (bases 1-120)
Source: RNAcentral
GAUGAAGAACGUAGCGAAAUGCGAUACGUAGUGUGAAUUGCAGAAUUCAGUGAAUCAUCGAAUCUUUGAACGCACAUUGCGCCCUUUGGUAUUCCAAAGGGCAUGCCUGUUCGAGCGUCAUUUGUACCCUCAAGCUUUGCUUGGUGUUGGGCGUUUUUGUCUUUGGUCCGCCAAAGACUCGCCUUAAAAUGAUUGGCAGCCGGCCUACUGGUUUCGCAGCGCAGCACAUUUUUGCGCUUGCAAUCAGCAAAAGAGGACGGCAAUCCAUCAAGACUCCUUCUCACGUUUGACCUCGGAUCAGGUAGGGAUACCCGCUGAACUUAAGCAUAUCAAUAAGCGGAGGA